UUUAACUUAGAUUUGGGUGGCGGACGGGUGAGUAACGCGUAAAGAACUUGCCUCACAGCUAGGGACAACAUUUAGAAAUGAAUGCUAAUACCUGAUAUUAUGAUUUUAAGGCAUCUUAGAAUUAUGAAAGCUAUAAGCACUGUGAGAGAGCUUUGCGUCCCAUUAGCUAGUUGGAGAGAUAACAGCUCACCAAGGCGAUGAUGGGUAGCCGGCCUGAGAGGGUGAACGGCCACAAGGGGACUGAGACACGGCCCUUACUCCUACGGGAGGCAGCAGUGGGGAAUAUUGGACAAUGGACCGAGAGUCUGAUCCAGCAAUUCUGUGUGCACGAUGAAGUUUUUCGGAAUGUAAAGUGCUUUCAGUUGGGAAGAAAAAAAUGACGGUACCAACAGAAGAAGUGACGGCUAAAUACGUGCCAGCAGCCGCGGUAAUACGUAUGUCACGAGCGUUAUCCGGAUUUAUUGGGCGUAAAGCGCGUCUAGGUGGUUAUGUAAGUCUGAUGUGAAAAUGCAGGGCUCAACUCUGUAUUGCGUUGGAAACUGUAUAACUAGAGUACUGGAGAGGUAAGCGGAACUACAAGUGUAGAGGUGAAAUUCGUAGAUAUUUGUAGGAAUGCCGAUGGGGAAGCCAGCUUACUGGACAGAUACUGACGCUA
Molecule: ribosomal RNA, 655 nt
Filed under: uncultured Fusobacteriota bacterium
Lineage: Bacteria; Fusobacteriati; Fusobacteriota
Description: bacterial SSU rRNA
Rfam family: Bacterial small subunit ribosomal RNA
Source: RNAcentral